AAAGGCUUACUUUCCAACUACCUAUCUUCCUAGACAGAAAUUAUGCCCAACAGAUGGGUACAAGAGGUCAUCUUCUCAGGAGCCAGACUUGAUCCUUGAGCUGAGGGCAAUAGAACUAAUAUCUGCUACACAAAGGAGUUCUAUUUGAGGAGAUAACACAGGAGUCUUUGACAGCACCACAUCUUAGAGACUUAA
Non-coding RNA from Caretta caretta (loggerhead turtle), 195 nucleotides. NCBI's taxonomy places the organism in Eukaryota, Metazoa, Chordata, Testudines, Cheloniidae. The record is from RefSeq and is a predicted model, not a curated record.